GACGAACGCUGGCGGCGCGCUUAACACAUGCAAGUCGAGCGAGAACCAAGCCUUCGGGCUUGGGGACAGCGGCGAACGGGUGAGUAACACGUGAGUAAUCCACCCUUGGUACCGGGAUAGCUCGGGGAAACUCGAAUUAAUACCGGAUAGCCCAUUAGCCUUUCGGGGCGAAUGGAAAAGGUAGCUUCGGCCUCCGACCAAGGACGAGCUCGCGGCGGAUUAGCUUGUUGGCGGGGUAAUGGCCCACCAAGGCGACGAUCCGUAGCUGGUCUGAGAGGACGAUCAGCCACACUGGGACUGAGACACGGCCCCAGACUCCUACGGGAGGCAGCAGUAGGGAAUUGUUCGCAAUGGGCGCAAGCCCUGACGACGCAACGCCGCGUGGAGGAUGAAGA
RNAcentral lists this ribosomal RNA (395 nucleotides) under uncultured bacterium. RNAcentral describes it as "bacterial SSU rRNA". It matches the Rfam family "Bacterial small subunit ribosomal RNA", at positions 28 to 414 of the family's 1533-position model. The record is from RNAcentral.